This 866-nucleotide long non-coding RNA is filed under the name Olea europaea subsp. europaea. Lineage: Eukaryota; Viridiplantae; Streptophyta; Magnoliopsida; Lamiales; Oleaceae. The record is from RNAcentral.
CAUGUUACUAGAAGAAAAUUACCCACUUGGUUGAUCAAUCCUCACAAAGUGUAUGGAUCUCGUACUAAUUAAAUAAUGCCCGACCCCAAAUAUGUUUAUUCAGUCGUUCAAAGUGUCAAGGGCUAUGGUCAGUCGUUCAAAGUGUCAUGGGCUAUGUUCUUGUAGCAUCAUCCCUUGCACACUAGAUUUGAAUUCAGACAGCUCCCCGACGAAGAUGUUUUCAUCGAAGCUCCAGCCGAGGGCCUUCCUUCCACACAUAUCUUCUCCUUGAGCACCCCUUCUUUCCCCACUACAUCUUGCAACGGUGACCAAAACCCUAACCCUAGCCCCAGCUCUCCCUCCUCCAUCUAUCAUGGCNCCACCAACAGCCGCCGCAGCUCUUCCAUGAGGAAUUCCAGAUUCUCCCCGUCUUUCUUCUUUCACAACGCCAGAAUCGCUAUUACCCUGAUACCAUCCACUGUCUUCCUCCUAGACCUUGGUGGAACUCCGGUUGUCGCCACUCUGACCGUCGGCCUCAUGAUAGCCUAUAUCCUCGAUUCCAUCAAUUUUAACUCCAGUUCGUUCUUCGCAAUCUAGUUUGCCCUCAUUUUCGCUUAAAUUGUCUUCUUCUUCAGCUCCUCCCUCUCCCUCACAUUCAAUUCCAUCUCCCUCGCUUUCCUUGCCAGUUUAACUUGCGCAUGGGCCAAUUUCCUAAUUGGUGUUUGGGUUUCCCUUUGGUUCAAGUAGAUUCAAAUCGAAUACCCCACCAUUGUAAUUGCACUGGAAAGGCUAUUGUUCGCUGCAUUCCUGUCAUCGCCUUGGCUCUUUUCAGCCGGGCAGUAGUCUCUGCAAUUGGUAUGGCAAACGUCGCAUUUUAUCUCUUGGUU